Molecule: long non-coding RNA, 302 nt
Filed under: Elaeis guineensis (African oil palm)
Lineage: Eukaryota; Viridiplantae; Streptophyta; Magnoliopsida; Arecales; Arecaceae
Description: long non-coding RNA (EGUI_LNC054364)
Source: RNAcentral
GAUCUAAUCGAUGCUGCCAUGAAGAUCUAACCGUUAGAUCUAACAUACAUGAUCAAGAAAGUUUAAAAACCAUGAUCAAAUGGAAGUCUCUUGAUCUCUUCUAGUCCAACACUUGGAGAGGCUCUCCUUCAGAUGGUUCACAGCCGCACAAAGUCAUCCGACCUCUACAACAAAUUCACAUGAAGACUGGCAUAGAUCAAAAUCCUUGGAAGUGCUAGCUUGCAAGGAACUCGGAGGCUGAUUUCUUCCCUCUUCUUCAAACACCUUGGAUGCUCCAAAGUAAGAGGAUAUUUGGAGGAGGA